RNAcentral lists this ribosomal RNA (440 nucleotides) under uncultured Psychrobacter sp. RNAcentral describes it as "bacterial SSU rRNA". It matches the Rfam family "Bacterial small subunit ribosomal RNA", at positions 358 to 790 of the family's 1533-position model. The record is from RNAcentral. Lineage: Bacteria; Pseudomonadati; Pseudomonadota; Gammaproteobacteria; Moraxellales; Moraxellaceae.
GGAAUAUUGGACAAUGGGGGAAACCCUGAUCCAGCCAUGCCGCGUGUGUGAAGAAGGCCUUUUGGUUGUAAAGCACUUUAAGCAGUGAAGAAGACUCUUCGGUUAAUACCCGGAGACGAUGACAUUAGCUGCAGAAUAAGCACCGGCUAACUCUGUGCCAGCAGCCGCGGUAAUACAGAGGGUGCAAGCGUUAAUCGGAAUUACUGGGCGUAAAGGGAGCGUAGGUGGCUCGAUAAGUCAGAUGUGAAAUCCCCGGGCUCAACCUGGGAACUGCAUCUGAUACUGUUGAGCUAGAGUAUGUGAGAGGAAGGUAGAAUUCCAGGUGUAGCGGUGAAAUGCGUAGAGAUCUGGAGGAAUACCGAUGGCGAAGGCAGCCUUCUGGCAUAAUACUGACACUGAGGCUCGAAAGCGUGGGUAGCAAACAGGAUUAGAUACCCGGG